GAUAUGACAUGGGCUAUAUAUGGAUUCAAAGUCACCAAAGUGCUCAAGGGCACUACUGAAGUGGGAGAGAAAGUCAAUCUCUACACCCAGAUUCUUGGGACCACCUGUGGAUACAGACACAAUGAUCCCUUCAAUGAAGAUGAAUAUGUUGUUGCAGGGCACCUUGACGGAGAUCGUAUAGUAAUCUCAGUCUGUUCCUUCAUUAAGCCACUACCUCAAGUAACUUCUUCUGAAAUCGAAGGCUUUGAGGGCAGCUACAGCAGCGGCUGCAACUGAACAGUCAGUGGCUAAUCCCCAGGAGAUGCCG
Heteronotia binoei (common prickly gecko) is the source of this 307-nucleotide long non-coding RNA. RefSeq lists it as uncharacterized. The record is from RefSeq and is a predicted model, not a curated record. Lineage: Eukaryota; Metazoa; Chordata; Lepidosauria; Squamata; Gekkonidae. The transcript has 3 exons.